GCCCUAGUAACGGCGAGUGAAGCGGCAACAGCUCAAAUUUGAAAUCUGGCCCCCGGGUCCGAGUUGUAAUUUGUAGAGGAUGCUUUUGGUGCGGUACCUUCCGAGUUCCCUGGAACGGGACGCCAUAGAGGGUGAGAGCCCCGUCUGGUUGGACGCCAAUCCUUUGUAAAGCUCCUUCGACGAGUCGAGUAGUUUGGGAAUGCUGCUCUAAAUGGGAGGUAUAUGUCUUCUAAAGCUAAAUAUUGGCCAGAGACCGAUAGCGCACAAGUAGAGUGAUCGAAAGAUGAAAAGCACUUUGAAAAGAGAGUUAAAAAGUACGUGAAAUUGUUGAAAGGGAAGCGCUCAUGACCAGACUUGGGCCCGGUUGAUCAUCCAGGGUUCUCCCUGGUGCACUCUUCCGGCCCAGGCCAGCAUCAGUUCGCUGUGGGGGAUAAAGGCUUCGGGAAUGUGGCUCCUCCGGGAGUGUUAUAGCCCGCUGCGUAAUACCCUGUGGCGGACUGAGGUUCGCGCAUCUGCAAGGAUGCUGGCGUAAUGGUCAUCAGCGACCCGUCUUGAAACACGGACCAAGGAGUCGUCUUCGUAUGCGAGUGUUCGGGUGUUAAACCCCUACGCGGAAUGAAAGUGAACGCAGGUGAGAGCUUCGGCGCAUCAUCGACCGAUCCUGAUGUUCUCGGAUGGAUUUGAGUAAGAGCAUACGGGGCCGGACCCGAAAGAAGGUGAACUAUGCCUGUAUAGGGUGAAGCCAGAGGAAACUCUGGUGGAGGCUCGCAGCGGUUCUGACGUGCAAAUCGAUCGUCAAAUAUGGGCAUGGGGGCGAAAGACUAA
This 825-nucleotide ribosomal RNA is filed under the name Corinectria fuckeliana. RNAcentral describes it as "eukaryotic LSU rRNA". It matches the Rfam family "Eukaryotic large subunit ribosomal RNA", at positions 77 to 934 of the family's 3401-position model. The record is from RNAcentral. Lineage: Eukaryota; Fungi; Ascomycota; Sordariomycetes; Hypocreales; Nectriaceae.